Molecule: ribosomal RNA, 751 nt
Filed under: Comamonas testosteroni
Lineage: Bacteria; Pseudomonadati; Pseudomonadota; Betaproteobacteria; Burkholderiales; Comamonadaceae
Description: bacterial SSU rRNA
Rfam family: Bacterial small subunit ribosomal RNA
Source: RNAcentral
GGCUCAGAUUGAACAUGGCUGGCGGCAUGCUUUACACAUGCAAGUCGAACGGUAACAGGUCUUCGGAUGCUGACGAGUGGCGAACGGGUGAGUACGUAAUACAUCGGAACGUGCCUAGUAGUGGGGGAUAACUACUCGAAAGAGUAGCUAAUACCGCAUGAGAUUUUAGUCUACGGAUGAAAGCAGGGGACCUUCGGGCCUUGUGCUAUGCACUAGAGCGGCUGAUGGCAGAUUAGGUAGUUGGUGGGGUAAAGGCUUACCAAGCCUGCGAUCUGUAGCUGGUCUGAGAGGACGACCAGCCACACUGGGACUGAGACACGGCCCAGACUCCUACGGGAGGCAGCAGUGGGGAAUUUUGGACAAUGGGCGAAAGCCUGAUCCAGCAAUGCCGCGUGCAGGAUGAAGGCCCUCGGGUUGUAAACUGCUUUUGUACGGAACGAAAAGCCUCGAAGGGGCUAAUAUCCCCGGGUCAUGACGGUACCGUAAGAAUAAGCACCGGCUAACUACGUGCCAGCAGCCGCGGUAAUGAAUACGUAGGGUGCAAGCGUUAAUCGGAAUUACUGGGCGUAAAGCGUGCGCAGGCGGUUUUGUAAGACAGUGGUGAAAUCCCCGGGCUCAACCUGGGAACUGCCAUUGUGACUGCAAGGCUAGAGUGCCGUACGGGCAGAGGGGGAUGGAAUUCCGCGUGUAGCAGUGAAAUGCGUAGAUAUGCGGAGGAACACCGAUGAUCGGCGAAGGCAAUCAUCCCCUG